Cinara cedri is the source of this 235-nucleotide non-coding RNA. The record is from the annotation of a GenBank genome assembly. Lineage: Eukaryota; Metazoa; Arthropoda; Insecta; Hemiptera; Aphididae.
UUCCAAAUUCUUUUUUCGUAUAUUCAACAUUUAGCUUUAAUUUUGCGUUCAUUAAUCUGCGGAAAACUACUCUAUUCUUAGAAACAUAUAGGCUGGCGAGCAAACUGUCUAUACAGCAACCCGACCGGUAACACACCUAACUCUUUGCAGUUGGAAACUGAUGAACCUGGUAAAACAUUUUUAUUUAAGCAUAUCCCAACAGCAGUUAAUUUAAUUUUUACACCGGAGUCGUUUG